Molecule: ribosomal RNA, 251 nt
Filed under: uncultured prokaryote
Description: partial 16S rRNA
Rfam family: Bacterial small subunit ribosomal RNA
Source: RNAcentral
ACGUAGGUGGCAAGCGUUAUCCGGAUUCACUGGGCGUAAAGCGCGUGCAGGCGGUUUCGUAAGUCGGAUGUGAAAGCCCACGGCUUAACUGGGGAAGGGCAUUUGAAACUGUCAGACUUGAGUAUCAGAGGGGAAAGUGGAAUUCCCGGUGUAGAGGUGCAAUUCGUAGAUAUCGGGAGGAAUAGCGGUGGCGAAGGCGACUUUCUGGCUGAAUACUGACGCUGAGGCGCGAAAGCGUGGGGAGCAAACAG